GACGAACGCUGGCGGCGUGCCUAAUACAUGCAAGUAGAACGCACAGUUUAUACCGUAGCUUGCUACACCAUAGACUGUGAGUUGCGAACGGGUGAGUAACGCGUAGGUAACCUGCCUGGUAGCGGGGGAUAACUAUUGGAAACGAUAGCUAAUACCGCAUAAUAUUAAUUAUUGCAUGAUAAUUAAUUGAAAGGUGCAAUUGCACCACUACCAGAUGGACCUGCGUUGUAUUAGCUAGUAGGUGAGGUAACGGCUCACCUAGGCGACGAUACAUAGCCGACCUGAGAGGGUGAUCGGCCACACUGGGACUGAGACACGGCCCAGACUCCUACGGGAGGCAGCAGUAGGGAAUCUUCGGCAAUGGACGAAAGUCUGACCGAGCAACGCCGCGUGAGUGAAGAAGGUUUUCGGAUCGUAAAGCUCUGUUGUAAGAGAAGAACGGGU
RNAcentral lists this ribosomal RNA (444 nucleotides) under Streptococcus gordonii. RNAcentral's name for it is "bacterial SSU rRNA". It matches the Rfam family "Bacterial small subunit ribosomal RNA", at positions 28 to 454 of the family's 1533-position model. RNAcentral also lists the same sequence under 1 other name. Lineage: Bacteria; Bacillati; Bacillota; Bacilli; Lactobacillales; Streptococcaceae. The record is from RNAcentral.